RNAcentral lists this non-coding RNA (30 nucleotides) under Homo sapiens (human). The record is from RNAcentral. Lineage: Eukaryota; Metazoa; Chordata; Mammalia; Primates; Hominidae.
UGGGAGUUGAUCUGGAGGGCUGGAAUUCAA